GAAUGCUGACAUAAGUAACGAUAAAGCGGGUGAAAAGCCCGCUCGCCGGAAGACCAAGGGUUCCUGUCCAACGUUAAUCGGGGCAGGGUGAGUCGACCCCUAAGGCGAGGCCGAAAGGCGUAGUCGAUGGGAAACGGGUUAAUAUUCCCGUACUUGGUGUUACUGCGAAGGGGGGACGGAGAAGGCUAUGUUGGCCGGGCGACGGUUGUCCCGGUUUAAGCGUGUAGGUGUGUGUUCCAGGUAAAUCCGGUUCACUUUAACACUGAGGCGUGACGACGAGGCACUACGGUGCUGAAGCAACAAAUGCCCUGCUUCCAGGAAAAGCCUCUAAGCAUCAGGUAACAUCAAAUCGUACCCCAAACCGACACAGGUGGUCAGGUAGAGAAUACCAAGGCGCUUGAGAGAACUCGGGUGAAGGAACUAGGCAAAAUGGUGCCGUAACUUCGGGAGAAGGCACGCUGACACGUAGGUGAAGUGAUUUACUCAUGGAGCUGAAGUCAGUCGAAGAUACCAGCUGGCUGCAACUGUUUAUUAAAAACACAGCACUGUGCAAACACGAAAGUGGACGUAUACGGUGUGACGCCUGCCCGGUGCCGGAAGGUUAAUUGAUGGGGUCAGCGCAAGCGAAGCUCCUGAUCGAAGCCCCGGUAAACGGCGGCCGUAACUAUAACGGUCCUAAGGUAGCGAAAUUCCUUGUCGGGUAAGUUCCGACCUGCACGAAUGGCGUAAUGAUGGCCAGGCUGUCUCCACCCGAGACUCAGUGAAAUUGAACUCGCUGUGAAGAUGCAGUGUACCCGCGGCAAGACGGAAAGACCCCGUGAACCUUUACUAUAGCUUGACACUGAACAUUGAGCCUUGAUGUGUAGGAUAGGUGGGAGGCUUUGAAGUGUGGACGCCAGUCUGCAUGGAGCCGACCUUGAAAUACCACCCUUUAAUGUUUGAUGUUCUAACGUGGACCCGUUACCCGGGUUGCGGACAGUGUCUGGUGGGUAGUUUGACUGGGGCGGUCUCCUCCUAAAGAGUAACGGAGGAGCACGAAGGUUGGCUAAUCCUGGUCGGACAUCAGGAGGUUAGUGCAAUGGCAUAAGCCAGCUUGACUGCGAGCGUGACGGCGCGAGCAGGUGCGAAAGCAGGUCAUAGUGAUCCGGUGGUUCUGAAUGGAAGGGCCAUCGCUCAACGGAUAAAAGGUACUCCGGGGAUAACAGGCUGAUACCGCCCAAGAGUUCAUAUCGACGGCGGUGUUUGGCACCUCGAUGUCGGCUCAUCACAUCCUGGGGCUGAAGUAGGUCCCAAGGG
RNAcentral lists this ribosomal RNA (1296 nucleotides) under Salmonella enterica. Its description in RNAcentral is "partial 23S ribosomal RNA". It matches the Rfam family "Bacterial large subunit ribosomal RNA", at positions 1292 to 2571 of the family's 2925-position model. Lineage: Bacteria; Pseudomonadati; Pseudomonadota; Gammaproteobacteria; Enterobacterales; Enterobacteriaceae. The record is from RNAcentral.